This 253-nucleotide ribosomal RNA is filed under the name uncultured bacterium. RNAcentral describes it as "partial 16S ribosomal RNA". It matches the Rfam family "Bacterial small subunit ribosomal RNA", at positions 524 to 776 of the family's 1533-position model. The record is from RNAcentral.
UACGGAGGGUGCAAGCGUUAUUCGGAAUUACUGGGCGUAAAGCGCACGCAGGCGGCUGAGCCAGUCGGUUGUGAAAGCCCUGGGCUUAACCUGGGAAUUGCAGUCGAUACUACUCAGCUAGAGUAUGGGAGAGGGUAGUGGAAUUCCCGGUGUAGCGGUGAAAUGCGUAGAUAUCGGGAGGAACAUCAGUGGCGAAGGCGGCUACCUGGCCCAAUACUGACGCUGAGGCGCGAAAGCUAGGGGAGCAAACGGG